AGCUUUAUGCAGUGGCAGUAUUGUAGCCAAUGAGGUUUAUCUGAGGCGCAAUUAUUGCUAAUUGAAAAAAAGGCCAUAUAAUCUGAAUAGACAUUUCUUAAAAGGACGCAUAUAAAUGGCC
This 121-nucleotide small nuclear RNA is filed under the name Piliocolobus tephrosceles (Ugandan red Colobus). RNAcentral describes it as "U4 spliceosomal RNA (ENSPTEG00000025300.1)". The stretch from base 1 to 106 matches the Rfam family "U4 spliceosomal RNA". Rfam says of the family: U4 small nuclear RNA (U4 snRNA) is a component of the major U2-dependent spliceosome. The structure of U4 snRNA from yeast and human has been reported. The record is from RNAcentral. Lineage: Eukaryota; Metazoa; Chordata; Mammalia; Primates; Cercopithecidae.